AUACGGAGGAUGCGAGCGUUAUCCGGAUUUAUUGGGUUUAAAGGGUGCGUAGGCUGUGCGUUAAGUCAGGGGUGAAAUGCCGUCGCUCAACGACGGAGCUGCCCUUGAUACUGGCGUGCUGGAGUACGGAUGCCGUUGGAGGAAUGAGUGGUGUAGCGGUGAAAUGCUUAGAUAUCACUCAGAACACCGAUUGCGAAGGCAUCUGACGAAUCCGUCACUGACGCUGAGGCACGAAAGCGUGGGGAUAGAACAGGAUUAGAUACCCUGGUAUUCCACGCCGUAAACGAUGAUGACUAACCGUCGGCGAUAGACAGCCGGUGGCCAAGCGAAAGCGAUAAGUCAUCCACCUGGGGAGUACGUCGGCAACGAUGAAACUCAAAUGAAUUGACGGGG
This 393-nucleotide ribosomal RNA is filed under the name uncultured bacterium. Its description in RNAcentral is "partial 16S ribosomal RNA". It matches the Rfam family "Bacterial small subunit ribosomal RNA", at positions 523 to 918 of the family's 1533-position model. The record is from RNAcentral.